Molecule: non-coding RNA, 116 nt
Organism: Tribolium castaneum (red flour beetle)
Lineage: Eukaryota; Metazoa; Arthropoda; Insecta; Coleoptera; Tenebrionidae
Source: RefSeq, marked provisional
UUUAAGCUAAAUUUUAGUGAAUUUAUUGCUGUGUUGGCAUAAGUAGUACCAUGAAAAAUUUGAAUCUAUAGUACGACCCAUGCCGACUCAGUAAUAAAUUACAAUUCCAGCAAGUG